RNAcentral lists this ribosomal RNA (500 nucleotides) under uncultured bacterium. RNAcentral describes it as "bacterial SSU rRNA". It matches the Rfam family "Bacterial small subunit ribosomal RNA", at positions 899 to 1397 of the family's 1533-position model. The record is from RNAcentral.
ACUCAAAGGAAUAGACGGGGGCCCGCACAAGCGGUGGAGCAUGUGGAUUAAUUCGAGGCAACGCGAAGAACCUUACCAAGGCUUGACAUGGAGACGAUGCCGGCAGAGAUGCCGGGUUCCUUUCGGGGACGUCUCACACAGGUGGUGCAUGGUUGUCGUCAGCUCGUGUCGUGAGAUGUUAGGUUAAGUCCUGCAACGAGCGCAACCCUUAUGUUUAGUUGCUACCGGGUAGAGCCGGGCACACUAGAGAGACUGCCGUGGACAACACGGAGGAAGGCGGGGACGAGGUCAAAUCAUCAUGCCCCUUACGUCUUGGGCUUCACACGUGCUACAAUGGUUCAAACAGAGUGAAGCGAGCCCGCGAGGGGGAGCGGAUCACAAAAAGGAGCCUCAGUUCGGAUUGCAGGCUGCAACUCGCCUGCAUGAAGUUGGAAUCGCUAGUAAUCGCGAAUCAGCAUGUCGCGGUGAAUACGUUCCCGGGCCUUGUACACACCGCCCGU